UUGCACACACAAAGUUGCAGCAAACCCCCUUUGCGAAUCUUAUGAAUGUCCCCCUUGGCCGGUUCUGGGGUGUCGUCGUCGCCGCCUUGCGGUGGUGGUGGUGAUGUCCCGGCCCGGCCAACCCAAGUCCCCCCUCGGGCUUGGGGCUCUCCCUCCCGGGGGAGCCUCAUCACCCGGGGACACUUGGUAACCAACCGAUUGCGCAAUGCAUCAACACUUUCGACAUGACUGAGUAUAAGAAUCGGGGCAUAACAUCGGGUGGCUCUUCGUUGAGCCAUUCAGUGUUCCCCCCCCCCGAGUUGUAAUAAACAAAAACAACUCUCAGCAACGGAUAUCUUGGCUCUUGCAACGAUGAAGAACGCAGCGAAAUGCGAUACGUAGUGUGAAUUGCAGAAUUCCGCGAAUCAUCGAGUCUUUGAACGCAAGUUGCGCCCGAGGCUUGACCAAGGGCAUUUCUGCCAGAGCGUCACCGCGACACCCACCAAUCCACUCCAGGUGAGUUGGACUGAGUGAAAGUGGCCAUCCGAAUGGGGCCCCACCCGGGACUUCCGUCCUUGGGUGUGGCACGUUGGGUUGGCUGAAAUGGAGGGAAUUUGGCCGCCGUGGUGACACAGCCCGCGAUCAGGUGAUCCAGGCUCUGUCUUGGAACUCAAAUGUGCGUCGGUUGUGCCUCCCUGUUGGCAGUAGGAUUCCAGAGCAGGUCCCUCCCGGCGGGACCGCCUCUCGAGGUGGUUCCGGCGGGAGGAAAAACGUCACGCAUCAGACCUCUGAUCAGAAAAGACUACCCGCUGAGUUUAAGCAUAUCACUAAGCGGAGGAGAAGAAAC
RNAcentral lists this small RNA (826 nucleotides) under Brideliella wahlenbergii. RNAcentral's name for it is "eukaryotic LSU rRNA". The stretch from base 317 to 469 matches the Rfam family "5.8S ribosomal RNA". Lineage: Eukaryota; Viridiplantae; Streptophyta; Bryopsida; Dicranales; Rhabdoweisiaceae. The record is from RNAcentral.